CAAACGACUCUCGGCAACGGAUAUCUCGGCUCACGCAUCGAUGAAGAACGUAGCAAAAUGCGAUACUUGGUGUGAAUUGCAGAAUCCCGUGAACCAUCGAGUUUUUGAACGCAAGUUGCGCCCGAAGCCUUCUGGCCGAGGGCACGUCUGCCUGGGCGUCACAC
RNAcentral lists this ribosomal RNA (164 nucleotides) under Gymnodiscus capillaris. Its description in RNAcentral is "5.8S ribosomal RNA". It matches the Rfam family "5.8S ribosomal RNA". Rfam says of the family: 5.8S ribosomal RNA (5.8S rRNA) is a component of the large subunit of the eukaryotic ribosome. RNAcentral also lists the same sequence under 2 other names. The record is from RNAcentral. Lineage: Eukaryota; Viridiplantae; Streptophyta; Magnoliopsida; Asterales; Asteraceae.